Molecule: long non-coding RNA, 347 nt
Filed under: Vulpes vulpes (red fox)
Lineage: Eukaryota; Metazoa; Chordata; Mammalia; Carnivora; Canidae
Description: lncRNA (ENSVVUG00000001477.1)
Source: RNAcentral
AUGGGACCCACUUUGAGCACAGUCUCGUCUGGUCGAGGACCACCACUCCAUGAGCCAGCUCUUCAACAACCAGCCAGCCUCCCACCUGGCUGGUUACGAUCCUCCCCUGGGGACUCUGGAUCCGGGGCCUGUGGAGUUACUGUGGGAACACAAAUCGAGACCACGUUAGAGCCAACCUUCUGCCUCCGCCUUUCAACCUGACAGCUUUGGCCCACGGGCAUCCCCGACUGCAGGCUCUUGGGGAUCGUCACUGGGAUCCGAGCCUUCGAUGUCACUGUUUCUGACGUAUCACCGGUAUUGGCCUGACCCUGACGGGGAGACAGGCUUCCCCAGAUCUGUGGUAAGGA